RNAcentral lists this ribosomal RNA (709 nucleotides) under Enterobacter sp. RNAcentral's name for it is "bacterial SSU rRNA". It matches the Rfam family "Bacterial small subunit ribosomal RNA", at positions 807 to 1506 of the family's 1533-position model. Lineage: Bacteria; Pseudomonadati; Pseudomonadota; Gammaproteobacteria; Enterobacterales; Enterobacteriaceae. The record is from RNAcentral.
CGAUGUCGGACUUGGAGGUUGUGCCCUUGAGCCGUGGCUUCCGGAGCUAACGCGUUAAGUAGACCGCCUGGGGAGUACGGCCGCAAGAUUAAAACUCAAAUGAAUUGACGGGGGCCCGCACAAGCGGUGGAGCAUGUGGUUUAAUUCGAUGCAACGCGAAGAACCUUACCUACUCUUGACAUCCAGAGAACUUACCAGAGAUGCAUUGGUGCCUUCGGGAACUCUGAGACAGGUGCUGCAUGGCUGUCGUCAGCUCGUGUUGUGAAAUGUUGGGUUAAGUCCCGCAACGAGCGCAACCCUUAUCCUUUGUUUGCCAGCGAGUAAGGCCGGGAACUCAAAGGAGACUGCCAGUGAUAAACCGGAGGAAGGUGGGGACGACGUCAAGUCAUCAUGGCCCUUACGAGUAGGGCUACACACGUGCUACAAUGGCGCAUACAAAGAGAAGCGACCAACUUGCGAAAGCAAGCGAAUCCUCAAAAAGUGCGUCGUAGUCCGGAUUGGAGUCUGCAACUCGACUCCAUGAAGUCGGAAUCGCUAGUAAUCGUGGAUCAGAAUGCCACGGUGAAUACGUUCCCGGGCCUUGUACACACCGCCCGUCACACCAUGGGAGUGGGCUGCAAAAGAAGUAGGUAGCUUAACCUUCGGGAGGGACGCUUACCACUUUGUGAUUCAUGACUGGGGUGAAGUCGUAACAAAGGGUAACCAAAAA